GGACUACAAGGGUUUCUAAUCCUGUUUGCUCCCCACGCUUUCGCGCCUCAGCGUCAGUCAAGGACCAGGUUGCCGCCUUCGCCACCGGUGUUCUUCCCAAUAUCUACGAAUUUCACCUCUACACUGGGAAUUCCACAACCCUCUUCCUCACUCUAGACAACACGUAUCAAAUGCAGCCCCCAGGUUAAGCCCGGGAAUUUCACAUCUGACUGUGCCAUCCGCCUACGCGCCCUUUACGCCCAGUCAUUCCGAGCAACGCUAGCCCCCUUCGUAUUACCGCGGCGGCUGGCAC
This 292-nucleotide ribosomal RNA is filed under the name uncultured Alphaproteobacteria bacterium. Its description in RNAcentral is "partial 16S ribosomal RNA". The record is from RNAcentral. Lineage: Bacteria; Pseudomonadati; Pseudomonadota; Alphaproteobacteria.